This 293-nucleotide ribosomal RNA is filed under the name Klebsiella pneumoniae. RNAcentral's name for it is "partial 23S ribosomal RNA". It matches the Rfam family "Bacterial large subunit ribosomal RNA", at positions 1 to 286 of the family's 2925-position model. Lineage: Bacteria; Pseudomonadati; Pseudomonadota; Gammaproteobacteria; Enterobacterales; Enterobacteriaceae. The record is from RNAcentral.
GGGUUGUGAGGUUAAGCGACUAAGCGUACACGGUGGAUGCCCUGGCAGUCAGAGGCGAUGAAGGACGUGCUAAUCUGCGAAAAGCGUCGGUAAGGUGAUAUGAACCGUUAUAACCGGCGAUGUCCGAAUGGGGAAACCCAGUGCAAUUCGUUGCACUAUCGUUAACUGAAUACAUAGGUUAACGAGGCGAACCGGGGGAACUGAAACAUCUAAGUACCCCGAGGAAAAGAAAUCAACCGAGAUUCCCCAGUAGCGGCGAGCGAACGGGGAGCAGCCCAGAGUCUGAAUCAGCU